GGGCGGAUAGCUCAGCUGGGAGAGCGCUGCCUUCACGCGGCAGAGGUCGCAGGUUCAAGCCCUGCUCCGCCCACCA
This 76-nucleotide transfer RNA is filed under the name Candidatus Aerophobota bacterium. RNAcentral describes it as "tRNA-Val". It matches the Rfam family "tRNA". Rfam says of the family: Transfer RNA (tRNA) molecules are approximately 80 nucleotides in length. The record is from RNAcentral. Lineage: Bacteria; Candidatus Aerophobota.